UUUUCACUCUAAACAUUCAGCAGUGUUUUCUUUUACUGUUCUGAAUUUUCUGCACAAUGUUAUUAUCUGUGCAUUUGUUAUGUUUUCAUUAGGCCGAUCCAGUCGGACAUCAACAGUCAAGACUCCACCAGAAAUCAUGGAGACAAUCAGAAUGAAACCCAUGAAUACAAAUCUCUUCACCCUGGUGAAUAUGAACUCUAUGAAACAGCCCAUCACUCAGAAGACACUGCAAAUGGUGAUCAUCACAUCUAUGAAACAAUCCACGACUUGGAAGAUACUGCAAAAGAGGAAGAUGAAUCACCUGAAGCCACAUACUCUCUUAUAGAGGUUAAAGACUUUGGGAUGGAGACAGGGAAGCAUCAUAAACCACAUAAGAGUAUUAUUUACACUGAUGUGAAUACGGGAACUGCAGGUCAGUGAAGAGAGCAACAGCAGCAAAGCCAAAGAGAAGCAUAAUGUAAUCAUACUAUAAUGAUCAAAGCAUAUGCAUGCCAUAUGUCUUCCUUACAUCCUCUGAGUGAGACAAUCUUGAUAAAACCUUCCAUAAGCACUGCAUAGGGCACUGUGAGUGGCCCAUGCAAUGCAUAAAUAAUUUACAAAAGUCUCAGAAUCAUAUAGAAUUAUGUAUUUGACAGUUCAACUGAGCAAUAAUGGAAUAUCAGAUUAGAGUGGCGUGUCUGAUUUAAUGUAUUUUAGCAUCAUAUUAUAGCAUAUAUCAUAGCAUCUUGUAUAUCCUAGUAUAUAAAUAUUUCUAGUCCCUAUCUCCAGUGCAGGGUACACAGAUUAGCUAGUAUGUAAUAAUAUAGACCCAAUACUCUGUUUUUACACAAGGGCAACAAUACAUUUUUGUGCAGUAUAAUGUAUUAUACAUUAUGUUAACAUAAAUAAAUAGUGUGACUGAUACUGUAUGGAGUUGAAUUUUGUCC
Long non-coding RNA from Haplochromis burtoni (Burton's mouthbrooder), 926 nucleotides. RefSeq lists it as uncharacterized. The record is from RefSeq and is a predicted model, not a curated record. Lineage: Eukaryota; Metazoa; Chordata; Actinopteri; Cichliformes; Cichlidae. The transcript is spliced from 6 exons.